Cyprinus carpio carpio is the source of this 1141-nucleotide long non-coding RNA. NCBI's taxonomy places the organism in Eukaryota, Metazoa, Chordata, Actinopteri, Cypriniformes, Cyprinidae. The record is from Ensembl.
GCUUUACAUAAUCAUGCCAUUGAUUCCCAUAUAUACUAACAUUACAAUAAUCAGAGUUAGACAUCACCCUAUUUAGAUUGGUCGAUGUUGUCCUAAAUGGAAAUUCCAUUAGAACCUGGACAUUCUAAGUUAAAUAAGUUAGCUGAAGCUAGUACUGAAAAGCCUGUAUGUUCAUUAAUUGUGUGUGUACUGUAUGUCUCUUAAAGGAUCAGAUAUUACAACCUUACAUAACAGAGUGGAGGCAGAUCUGAAUGUAACUGCUUAAUUGCAGUGUGGCUUUGUGUAGGUCAGCAGGGAUGAGUCAUCACAGUAAGAACAAGUGGCAUUACAGUUUUAAAUGAAUAUACUGAGUUUAAACAAGAUUUUAAAAUGGAUGGGCUUACUUGUCUGCUUGAUCCUAUUCCAUCUCAUCUCCUUCAAGCCAUUUCUGUGAGUGCAGCUGUACCUGCACUCACAUCAUUAACACAUCCCUUCACACUGGUCUUUUUCCCUCAGCAUAUAAACAGGCUUGUAUAUAAUCAGAACGAGUUCACUUCUCAAAUGUCAGUUGUUCAGUCGCUAUGCUCUAAACUGGAUCUUCUUACAGGGGAGAUGAGAGAACAAAAGAAAGUUGCAGAAAGAUCACGAUAGACAAGUAACCCCGAUCAAGCAACAGGUAGUGGACUUACAGGAUCGCAAUAGGCAUAGCAAUCUAAGUCUGGUUGAAUUGCCUGAAGGUUCCGAAAAGGACGACCCUAUGGGCUUUUUGAAAAGAUCGCUACCGAUGUGGCUCCCAUCUCUGAUGGGUAUAGAGAUUGAAGUGGAACGAGUGCAUCGUGUGUCCACAAGGCUCUCCUCAGAUCGCGCUAAACCAUGGGUUUUCCUCUUUAAACUGUUGCGGUACACAAACAGGGAGCUCAUUCUGCGGGCCGUCAGACUUCACACCCCAGUGAAAACAUCCGAUGGAGCAACGCUAUCUUUCUUUCCAGAUUUUUUUCUGGUCACCUCAAAAAGAAGCUCAUUUGCGCCUGUUAGGAAAGAAAUGAGAGAGGCUGGCAUCCAGAAUUUCCUUUUUUAUCCUGUAACACUGAAGGUCAUUCUCAAUCAAGGCGAACCUAAAAUGGUAUAUUCCCCAGAAGAAGCAAGAGUUUUUCUAAGAUCC